This 253-nucleotide ribosomal RNA is filed under the name uncultured bacterium. Its description in RNAcentral is "partial 16S ribosomal RNA". It matches the Rfam family "Bacterial small subunit ribosomal RNA", at positions 524 to 776 of the family's 1533-position model. The record is from RNAcentral.
UACGUAGGAUGCAAGCGUUGUCCGGAAUUAUUGGGCGUAAAGAGCGAGCAGGCGGUUACUCAAGUCAGAUGUAAAAUCUCCCGGCUUAACCGGGAGGGGCCAUUUGAAACUGGGUAACUAGAGUGAAGCAGAGGAUAGCGGAAUUCCCGGUGUAGUGGUGAAAUGCGUAGAUAUCGGGAGGAACACCAGUGGCGAAGGCGGCUAUCUGGGCUUUAACUGACGCUGAGGCGCGAAGGCUAGGGGAGCAAACAGG